This 387-nucleotide unclassified non-coding RNA is filed under the name soil metagenome. RNAcentral describes it as "partial contains 5.8S ribosomal RNA, internal transcribed spacer 2, and large subunit ribosomal RNA". The stretch from base 1 to 120 matches the Rfam family "5.8S ribosomal RNA", at positions 35 to 154 of the family's 154-position model. The record is from RNAcentral.
GAUGAAGAACGCAGCGAAAUGCGAUAAGUAAUGUGAAUUGCAGAAUUCAGUGAAUCAUCGAAUCUUUGAACGCACCUUGCACCCUUUGGCAUUCCGAAGGGUAUGCUCGUUUGAGUGUCAUUGUACUCUCACACUCUCCGAUCCUAUGGAUUCGGGGAGCGGUGGACUUGGGUGUUGCUGCCUUUCCUUGUGGCUCACCUCAAAUGUGUCAGUGCACCUCUUGGUUGGACAUAGUACGGCGUGAUAAGUGUCUUCGCCGGCACCUCGCAAGAGGGUGGCCGAUCGGGAGCUCUGUGCUUUCAAACCGUCUUCGGACAAUUUCUGACAACUUGGCCUCAAAUCGAGUAGGACUACCCGCUGAACUUAAGCAUAUCAAUAAGCGGAGGA